This 408-nucleotide ribosomal RNA is filed under the name uncultured bacterium. Its description in RNAcentral is "partial 16S ribosomal RNA". It matches the Rfam family "Bacterial small subunit ribosomal RNA", at positions 28 to 526 of the family's 1533-position model. The record is from RNAcentral.
GACGAACGCUGGCGGCGUGCUUAACACAUGCAAGUCGAACGAAGUGGCGAACGGGUGAGUAAUACGUGAGUAACCUGCCCUCAGUUUGGGAAUACGACUUGGAACCGGGGUCUAAUACCCAAUAAAGGAGGAUGGGCUAGUGGCCUAUCAGCUGGUUAGUGGGGUGAGUGCCUACCACGGCGGUGACGGGUAGCCGGCCUGAGAGGGUGACCGGCCACACUGGGACUGAGAGCCGGCCCAGACGCCUACGGGAGGCAGCAGUGGGGGAUAUUGCACAAUGGGCGAAAGCCUGAUGCAGCGACGCCGCGUGGGGGAUGAAGGCUGUCGGGUUGUAAGGCACUUUCAGUUGGAGAGCGUUACCAACAGAAUAAGCACCGGCUAACUUCGUGCCAGCAGCCGCGGUAAUUC